RNAcentral lists this ribosomal RNA (492 nucleotides) under Sungouiella intermedia. Its description in RNAcentral is "[Candida] intermedia partial large subunit ribosomal RNA". It matches the Rfam family "Eukaryotic large subunit ribosomal RNA", at positions 62 to 562 of the family's 3401-position model. The record is from RNAcentral. Lineage: Eukaryota; Fungi; Ascomycota; Pichiomycetes; Serinales; Metschnikowiaceae.
AAACCAACAGGGAUUGCCUCAGUAACGGCGAGUGAAGCGGCAAAAGCUCAAAUUUGAAAUCCUUCGGGAGUUGUAAUUUGUAGGUUGGGAGACCCCGCGGCUAGUGGCACCAAGUCCCUUGGAACAGGGCGCCUUAGAGGGUGAGAGCCCCGUAGGUACCACAACACCGUCUUGUGUCUCCUCUCCAAAGAGUCGAGUUGUUUGGGAAUGCAGCUCAAAGUGGGUGGUAAAUUCCAUCUAAAGCUAAAUACCGGCGAGAGACCGAUAGCGAACAAGUACAGUGAUGGAAAGAUGAAAAGCACUUUGAAAAGAGAGUGAAACAGUACGUGAAAUUGUUGAAAGGGAAGGGCUUGCAAGCAGACACGGCCUUCGUGCCGGGCCAGCAUCGGUUGCUAGGGGUGGAUAAGGAACAAGGAAUGUAGCUCCUCGGAGUAUUAUAGCCUUGCGCGAUACACCCACUGGCGACCGAGGCCUGCGGUAUCUUACCUAGGA